Molecule: ribosomal RNA, 497 nt
Filed under: uncultured bacterium
Lineage: Bacteria
Description: partial 16S ribosomal RNA
Rfam family: Bacterial small subunit ribosomal RNA
Source: RNAcentral
GACGAACGCUGGCGGCGUGCUUAACACAUGCAAGUCGAACGGUGAAGCGCCUUCCUUUUUGGUGGGUGUGGAUGAGUGGCGAACGGGUGAGUAACACGUGAGUAACCUGCCCCCUCCUUCUGGAUAACCGCAUGAAAGUGUGGCUAAUACGGGAUAUUCUGGGUCUGUCGCAUGAUGGGUGUGGGAAAGAUAUUGUGUCGGUUGGGGAUGGGCUCGCGGCGUAUCAGCUUGUUGGUGGGGUAAUGGCCUACCAAGGCGGCGAUGCGUAGCCGGCCUGAGAGGGGGAUGGGCCACACUGGAACGGAGACGCGGCCGACACGACUACUGGAGGCAGCAGUAGUGAAGAUUACGGAAUGGUCGGAAGACUGAUGGAGCAGCGACGCGGGGGGGAGGAAGGUGGUCGGAGGGUAGAACACUGUUUUUGCGGGUGAAGCAGUGCUGCCGCGUUUGUGGGUGGCUUGACGGUACCUGAACAAGAAGCGCCGGCUAACUACGUG